UGGGUGUGAAUCCAGAUGGUCCCUGGAAUACAGCCAGUAAGAACCUACUCCAAGCAUCUUCCAUUAUCAUUCCCACUUGGAUAAACAGGAAGGAGCCUCUUGACUUUGGACACAUGGAAUCAUCAACCCAAAACAAAGACUUGACCAUGGUGAUCUGAAAAGCAGGAAAUGUAUAUUUACUACGAAUGGGCAAGGCGUGUGGUUUUUUCAGUGAAUGGAGGGCCAAGAAGACUAAAUGGCAUGGAUUUCUAAACAGAUAGGGUCCUCCUCUGAGUGAGACCAUUCACCGGGACGCGAAUGCAUCGUCAUCCUUCUACUGGCUGGGUCCUGGGCAUACAGAGAGACCCUCAGGGACACGUCUCUCCGGAAAUCGACAGUCCAGGGAGGAGCCUCUUGAAGAAGUAAAAACCAUACCCAAGGAGAAGACCUAAGAUGAUAAUGAGACAUGCUUUGCCUGAGGACCCAUGAUGGAGAGCACCCUCUACAUGAGAUGACAUCAGGAGUCGGGACCUUCCUCACCUUAGGAACAAAAGAAACGAAACCUUGGGCUUCUUGCUUCUGGCGUCUUGUUUGAGCCAGCCUGGGAACUCUUACUUGUGCUGGAGCCUACGAAGGGAAAACCUUGCUCCUGUGCAGUUGUGUUCCGAUUCUUUUUGGAAAAGUCAAGUACCAGAAUGGGCUGAUAACGGUGCUAGCCAUAGGUUCCUGGCCCUGUUUGGGGGCCGGUGGAUUCCUCAGCCACUGCCUAACACAGCUGAGAGCUGCGCCAGGCUCUCAGGAGUGAAAAGGAAGCACUCCUCAGAGGCACACCCGCUGCGCCUUUUCCCAAGCGGCUUCCCAGGUAUUGACUUGUGCUAACAAGGAAAGGGAAAUUUCUUAGUGUAAGUUUCCAUUUACCAACUUCAAACAGCACAAGCUUGCUCAAUCUUGAAGCCUAAACGAAUGCUUUACAGAUAAUCAGUGUUCUCACUUAAUUCCUGAGAUUCUUUCUUGCAUUCCAAACAUAGCUAGCCUACAUUGGCACCCAAGAGACCGUUUGCAGAAGGAAAAUGAAUAUGUAGCAACCUGUAUUUCUUUCCACUGAAUGUUCCAAACAUAUUACGUUUUUCAAAAUCAAAUUAUCAGAUAUUUUCAAGAAGCUUGGGAUCAUCUCAUAUUGCUGGAAAGAUUUAGCUUCAAAAAGCAGAAAAAGUUAAAAAAAAAAAAAAAAGAACUUAAAUACUGUUUUCAGGUUUUUUUAUGAGCCAGGAACAACCUGGAAGUGAAUGGAGACCUUCAGCCUCUGGUCAGCUGUGAGGACAGACCACCCUGAAGGGUGUGCUGGUACAGUGCUCUCUGUGGCAUGUCAUUUCCUAAUUUCUGUGUAACGUUUCACGUUCAUCUUCCAAGGAUGCAGAGAUAGCCAGGUCAACAAUAUAAUGAAACCCAGCUGAAAUGGAGGCGUAAUGCUGCCAGGACUCUCCUUCAGCCUGUUUUGUUUGUGCAUAAGAGCAGUCAGCCUCUCCCAUUGCUGAGCAGUUCUCUCUGUAUUUGGAUAAACCCUGGUCCCCAGCAGUACUUGAGUUUGACCUCUUACCGCUUCUCCCCUCAGAGAUGGACUGACUGACUGAGGUGUGCGUGUCUCCUCACGCCCAGAAGUCCUUGGACAGAAAACUCAUUGAUUCAGUGUGAGACCCAAGCUAUGACCAGGGAAAACCAAAAUAUUUUGAAUAAUGGAGUCGGGAAGUAGCCAGUGUUUACAAUCCUCAGUGCUCUUAUAUGGCACCAAGGAUUCAUCGAAGAAUUUUAAGCAGGAUUUUGGCAGAAUCAGAUGUAUUUUAAUAAGCACAUAAUAACUGAAAGCAACAAAUUGGAGCGGGAACUUGCAUCAGCUGGUAAACUUGAAUGUUUUCCCUGGGCACGUCUGUGCCUCACAGAAGAUUAAAGCACAGAGCAGCAAGGAUGUGGGUCCCAAUCUCAGUUUGGGGCCACGAGUCAUGUGUCCUGCUGCUUUUCAUCAGAUGGGCAGAACCUAGUGGGACACACUUAUUCCUAAUCCCCAGGGGGAAAGAGGUUCUGCUCCCAAGAAGACCCUUUUCUGCCAUCAGUGUUCUCACUCAAUUCCUGAGAUUCUUCCUUGCAUUCCAAACAUAGCUAGCCUACAUUGGCACCCAAGAGACAGUUUGCAGAAGGAAAAUGAAUAUGUAACAACCUGUAUUUCUUUCCAGGAGGAUUCUGCUCCCAAGAGACCCUUUACUGCUAUCUGUACUCCUGGCUGUAUGUGAGAAGUUGUGUGUGAGGGAUUUGGGUCGGACUAGCUUCCUUCCUAGAGUGAGGAAAACCGUUUUCAAUUGCACAUGUGGGAACUGCUACGGGGGUGUCUGGAUUUAAAAGACUCCUGUUGGAAACUGCUUGUGCACCUCUUUCCAGAUUGGCCACCUGAAGACUAAAAUCAUUUGUUGGCUGUGUAACUGCUGCAAGUGAGUGUGCUCACUGCUUCCUUCUCAGACUUUGCUUGCUGUUUCUUACCAAUGGCUCACACCUAGCACCCUGGGAAGAGGACUGAAUCAUCUGUGUGCUUGCUGAGCCAGGCAGGCUUCUUUCCUCCCUGUCACUGAGAACUGACAUUCCAUCAUCACCUUGCGACUUUCCUCCUUUAUGAGCAAUCAACUUUGGCAACUUUUGACCUCUUAGUUAACUACAUACUGUAAAGUGUGGAUCCCACUCAGACCAGAAAAACAGCCAAGUAAGCUCAUGGUGCCUAGGUUUCUGGCUUUUGUCCUCCCAUUUCUGAAGGGAGAAAAAAGCUAAAAAAAUUAAUUAAUUAAUUAA
Molecule: non-coding RNA, 2811 nt
Organism: Ictidomys tridecemlineatus (thirteen-lined ground squirrel)
Lineage: Eukaryota; Metazoa; Chordata; Mammalia; Rodentia; Sciuridae
Source: RefSeq, a predicted model, not a curated record